UUUAAGCAAAAAUCCCUCAUUUGUUGAAGUUUUAGGAACCGACGUCGCCUCUGCCCAACUUUUGUCUCUCUCCCCAUCAUCGGCAACCAUCCCAGGUAAUCAACCUCAUAUGGCUCUCCUGCCUUAUCUCUUUUACGGAUUCCGAGUUUUGAUUUUAGUUAGAGAUCUAUGUUUUGGGGAAGGAUUUUCGGCCCUUGUAAGUUUCUAUCUUUAUUUAAUAAGAUUCAAGAACAAGAUAUUCAAUUAUCGUCAUUCCUAAUUGACUGCCUUAUUUGCCAAUUUUUAUCUUUGUUUUUUGUUUUGAAAAUUUUAAUUAAUAUUACAUUACUUCAAUUUUGAGUUUUGGGUGGAUCAUUACGAUUUAUUUGCAAAGUUGUAAUCGACAUUUUUUUCCACCUUUAUGCUUGUGAACUGAUUAUAUGACGCAUGAUAGACUUACGAACUAUUAUUGUUUCUGUUAAACUCUAUUUUCAAUUUUUAAUUUGGUCUUUGUAUCUGCUAAAUGUACUACAGCACUUUGCUAAUAUGAUAUGUUGGACACUGAGAAGAUUAAUGUUAGAACUGUAUUUUUAAAUUUAAAUUGGGCGUUCAAGUUUGAGUUCUAUUAGAUGAUUGAUUUUCGACCUGCUUCGGAAUGAGAUAGCAGAUUCAUGUGAAUAACAUGUCGGUUCCGACUAUUAAACUAUGUUGCAUUGCGAUUUUCGGUAGUCCAAUGUUUCAUUGAGAUUUUAGGUAGUUCACAAUAUGGUUCAAUUAAGAAUAUUAUUCUUUGUCUCUUUUGUAUAGCACUACAGUUGGGAGGAAAUAGUUCAUCAAUGUCCAAAAAAAUUGGAGGGACAUUUUUUUUGGGUUUGGAGGGAAAGCUAAAAUAACAACAAUCUAUUUAAAUUAGUGAUUUUUAGUGACAAUUUAUUAUUAUUGUCACUAAAUGAAUAUUUUUUGGUGGUUAAAGGACAUGUGCCGCUAAUAUUUCAGAGUAAAGAAUGUAUUAGCGAUAGUUGACUUAUUGCCACUAAAUAAUUAUCGCCAAAGGCCUUUUUUGUAGUAGUGUUAGACUCUCCACAAUUUCAAGAUUAGUUACAUCAGCACAUAACUCCAUUCUCUGUUGUUGUGAUAGCAUUGGGCCAUUGGCCAUAUACGGUCUGUUUAUAGUAGGCAGAUAUGCAGUUGUUGAGCCCAUUAGAGACUUGUAAAAUCCUAUAAUCUCCCUUUUAUGUCUGCAGGUGCACUUACUUUUACUCCCAUUGCAUUUGUAAGUUCUGUGAUCUGCUUCCUUUGUGUUCUUUGUUUCAUAACUGCAGUAAAGUACCUGGUAUUAGGAUCUCCAAGUUGAAUCCACUUUGCUAUUUCCUUCUGCUGUAAUACACUUUCUUCAAUCAAUGACCACAUUUCCAGCUUCAAUACUAUGCCCUUGCCAUUUGUUCUUGAACUUCUUUCAGUUCUUGUCUGGUAUGCUCUAUCUUCUGAGUAAUACUCUUAAACUCCUUUACAUUUAAGGCCUUUAAAGGGCCUUUCAAUCCUUUGAUUUUUGUCCAUAUUGUUUUCAUUGAUCCAGGAUUGGUAGAGUACCAGGUAUUUGCCACAAAAGAAAACUCAUCAUACUCAGCCCAUAUAUUAAAGAAUUUGAAAGGUACCUUACCCUUCCAAGAAGAUGCUGCUAGAGUCAUUAUCAUAGGGUUAUGGUCAGAGAUUAGUGGUUGAUCAUAAACUAUCUCCACAUAGCUCCACUUGAUCAUCUACUCAUAGUUCCCAAAUACUCUGUCCAGUAUGCUACAUACUCUAUCUGCUUCAGGCUGUUUGUUUGUCCAAGAAUAGUAAUCACCCUUCCAAUUUGAAUCCAUCACCCAUAUUUCUCGUGGUAACUCUUUAGUGACAUUAAUUUCUAUAAGCAUUCGAGCAUAUGAGACUCUAGUCUGUUUGGUUGUGCAUUCAUUCGCAAAAAUAGGUUUCCCUAGGACACUUGUAAUCCUACUUAAUGAUCUCAUUCCCCAACAGGACAUAGGAAUCUUGGGAAACUUAACCCAUAGAGGAAUACCAGUAGGAAAUUCCUCUGUGAUAUCAAAAUCUUGAGUUCAUUGUUUGAGAAUCAUAGGCCUUUUAGCUAUAGAAUAAGGCCCUGCACAUAGAAUUUCCUUAGCAUCUUCCAUUGUUUUGAACUUAACUAUGUAAUUACCUUUCUCAUGAUAAAAUAAGUAUGGUUAUGGAACAUAUGACCAGUGAAGGUUAAUAAAUCUCUUUAUCGCAUUGAAACCAGGUCCAUACCCUAAAAUAAAUACAUAAUUAAAGAACAUUUCCACUUCUUCUCUUCCUCUUCUAACUCUAAUUUGUUCAAUUGCACUAUUGGUCGCCCAUCAACCAUUAGAGGCGGUAUGUAAUCUAGAGCCAUACCAUUUGUUGCAAAUCUAUUUUUCUGAAAGAGGGUAGACCAAGCCUGUUUGGGUUCUUCAGUUCUGUUUCUGAUGACCUCAGGGUUCUCUGUUACUUCUAUCACUAAUUGUACUUGGACCUGCACUGGACUCUACAUGUUUACUGCUCCAUUGGUAUCCUUCUUCGUCAGAUUUGGUUUUCCUCCAAUCUGAGCUGGGGAAGUCAGAUCCAGCUUCUUUGAGACUGUAGACUGGUGCGAUGUCGACCCAAUUGAAUCUCUCGCAGCUGCAAUUGAUGAAUCUGAGCUCUGCACAGUUGGUGUCAUGGUUACUACUUUCUCCAUAGUUGGUUGAUUAAUUGUUGUUAUCAUGUUCUCAAUAGCUGCUAAUGGUACCUUACGUGAUCGUCCUCUACCUCUGGCUCUCCCUCUCGCCAUGUCUACAAGCUCGGCGUACGUUUAACUAACAUGCGCCGAGAGCAUUUUGAGAAGAAGCAAAGUAACCUCAGUAUAUAAUCAUGACAUAUUUAAGACCAUAUACUUUAAGUUUUUUUAUCUUUUAACCCUCAUACGCGAUUAAACGUCGUUAUAUCUCUU
RNAcentral lists this long non-coding RNA (2962 nucleotides) under Nicotiana benthamiana. Its description in RNAcentral is "long non-coding RNA (NBEN_LNC039353)". Lineage: Eukaryota; Viridiplantae; Streptophyta; Magnoliopsida; Solanales; Solanaceae. The record is from RNAcentral.